Molecule: ribosomal RNA, 449 nt
Filed under: uncultured bacterium
Lineage: Bacteria
Description: bacterial SSU rRNA
Rfam family: Bacterial small subunit ribosomal RNA
Source: RNAcentral
UACCAGACUCCUACGGGAGGCAGCAGUGGGGAAUAUUGCACAAUGGGGGGAACCCUGAUGCAGCGACGCCGCGUGGGUGAAGGAGCACCUCGGUGCGUAAAGCCCUAUCGGCAGGGAAGAAACAGACGGUACCUGACUAAGAAGCCCCGGCUAACUACGUGCCAGCAGCCGCGGUAAUACGUAGGGGGCAAGCGUUAUCCGGAUUCACUGGGUGUAAAGGGAGCGUAGGCGGCCACGCAAGUCAGAAGUGAAAACCCGGGGCUCAACCCUGGGAGUGCUUUUGAAACUGUGCGGCUAGAGUGUCGGAGGGGUAAGUGGAAUUCCUAGUGUAGCGGUGAAAUGCGUAGAUAUUAGGAGGAACACCAGUGGCGAAGGCGGCUUACUGGACGAUGACUGACGCUGAGGCUCGAAAGCGUGGGGAGCAAACAGGAUUAGAUACCCCAGUAACC